UUAGACUAAACAAGAUGUUGUAUGUCAAAAGUGCAUUGUAAACUUAGUGCAAUUCAGACAUUUGAUGUGAUGUAUUUCACUAUUUGGAAACAUCUCUCAUUAAAAUAUGCAACAUUGAGAAAUCAAUAAAAAUGUGGUUCUAACAGUAGUUAGAAGUCCUUGCAAAGGAAUUUAGAAUGGUAGAACAUCAGAUAUGAAAAAUAUCUUAGUCCCAACCUACUAUUUUGCAAAUGAGGAUGCUAAGACUGAGCCCAUAAAGUACUUAUUAGUAGUGGAUCCAGGACUGGCACCCAAUUUUCUAAAAACUACUAUGCCAUGGUUAUAAUACUUUGCCCAAAGAGAGCAGUUUUCUUAGUUUCGUAACUUAAAAAUAGUAUAAGUCAAGUCACUCUUAAGACUGACAUCUGGCUUUAUUUAUUUAUUUAUUUUCAUCUGGCUUUAUUUUUAAAAAUUACUCCAACUUUUUAGUUUUAUAGUUCAUUUUCAUUUUCAUUUGAACAAUUGAUAUACAAAUAUUUAGGCUUUUUAUGCUUUACAUUAAAGCAUAGUUUUCUCUGUAUUAGAUUUUGAGUACUACACAGUCGCAUACUCUAUAAAUAAACAAAUAUAAUUUUAGUUGAGAAGUAUCUCCUUUCAUUUUUUUUUUUUUGUAGUUAGGAUAAACCUUAAUUUUGGACUGUGAUUCAUUGUAGCAUUGAAAAUUAGCACAAAGUUGUGGAUCAUGGGGAGACAAAUAGUACAAGAAAAAUACAUGUUUACUUCCAGAUCUCAUAAAACUUCUUGUUUAUAUAAGUCUCAUUUCAAUCAAAAGUAGAAAAGCAAGUCACUAUUUAUUUUAUUGCUUAGGGUGGCCAAUGAAAUUUUAUUGCUUUGAAGUUGUAAGAAGUUUGGUUACUUACCAAAUUGAGAAAAUAAAAGUAUAACUUUUCUUUUUGGCAGCAGAGGAAAAGUAAUAUGAGAAAAAGUUCAAAAUUAAGAUUUUCAUCUAGACUCUUGAUAUAGAGCUCUUAUCUACUAGAUGUAUAAUUUUGUGAUGACAGUGCAUAAUUUUGUAAUGACAAUGACUUGAAGACUCAGACAUAAGUGAAAAGAACAAUGGAGAUUUGGGUUUGAGAUGGCACCCUACCACUUUGAUUUUAGGCGAAUCAUUUGGUCUCUCCUUCACAGGUUUCAUGUGACAGGCUAGGUUAGAUUUGUGAACAUGCCUUGGAAAAUGGAUUAUUGUUAAAUUAUUAUUAUUAAGUCAUUAUAUGCUCCUGCUAAAAGGUUGGAACUGUUUUACAGGGUUGGAAAAUCCUUUUCUAUUUCACACUUUCUCCCCUUCCAAAUUUUCUUUCAGAUUUUUUUUUUCAAGAAUAUUAUUCUGGAUGGCCCAACUUUAAUACUUAGCAUGAGAAAAGAGUGGGUUCUUAGUACAUUACAGAGAAAAAUAAUUAGUUGAAAUGAGAAAGUUAUUGCAUUUUAAGAGAUCUUAUCAAAAGCACCUUGGGUGAGAAGAAAAUCCAAUCUCUGAGUCAUAGAUCCACCCACAGAUACCACAUUGUAAUGCUAUUAUCAAAAUACCAUCCUUUUCAUCACUGGUAGUUUCAUGAAUUGAAGCAUACAGAGAAAUGUAUUAUUGCUAUUGUUUGCUGUGUUUAAGGAUGCGUGUAUACUAGUUUAGAAAGAAUAUAUUUUUGAUGCAACAUAUAAUAGCAUACUUUGUACUUACAGAACUAGAUGUAUAAGGAAUUGUCAAUAAUCUAAACAUAGCCAGAGACAAGAAUAAUUCAAAGAAGCUCUAUUAAUGUCAAUGGACUCUGCUACUGAUAAAUGACUAAGAAGUCAUAUUUCCAAGUCAUUCAUUCAUUUGUUUUUUUUAACUAAUAUUAAUUAAGUGCCUUGAAAAGGUAUUGUACAACAUGCUAAGGUUUUGUGUAGGUGAUGAAGUGCAGCAUAUUAUUCAUUCUACCUUUUUUCCUUCCUGCCACACUUUAUCCAUCUUAUACCUGGGAUUUUUAUUUCUCUAUUUUAGGUUGUAAGCUCUUGGCAGAAAUCAUGUUUUAUAGUGCAAAAAAAGGAAAUGAGAGAGAAGAGGAUAUAUUGGAAGAAGUCAGAAGAAAAGAAAGAAAGAAAGAGAGAAAGAAAGAAAGAAGAAAGAAAGAAAGAAAGAAAGAAAGAAAGAAAGAAAGAAAGAAAGAAAGAAAGAAAGAAAGAAGAAAGAAAAGAAAAAAGAAAAGAAAUAAGGAGAGGGAAAGAAGGAAAGUAGGAAGGAGCAAAGAAAUGAAGGAAGGAAGAAAGAAAGAAUGAAAGAGAAAGAAACUAGGAAAAGAAAAGCUACAAGAAGGAAAUAAUGGUGCUUAGUUUUAUUAACAUUAAAAGAUCCCUUGUAUAAAGUUUCAGUAUGGUCAAGAUGUCAGAUCUUCCCAACUUGAUCUAUAAAUUCAAUGUAAUCCCAAUCAAAACCCCAGAAAGUUAUUUUGCGAAUAUUGAGAAACUUCUUCUAGGUUAAUAUGGAAACACAAUAAACUCAGAACGGCCAAGGAGAAGAACAAACGGGACAGAUAUAACCUGAUAUCAAGGCUUAUUAUAAAGCUGCAGUAAUUGGGGUGCCUGAGUGGCUCAGUUGGUUAUGUGUCUGCCUUCGGCUCAAGUCAUGAUCCCAGGGUCCUGAGAUGGAGCCCCAUGUAGGGCUAUCUGCUCAGCAGGGGGUCUGCUUCUUUGUCUCCUUCUGCCCCUCCCCCCCCCAUUUGUGUGCUUUCUCUCUCUUAGAUAAAUAAAUAAAAUCUUUUUAGAAAAUCUGCAGUAAUCAAAAUAAUGUGGAGUUGGUGAAAGAACAGAGAAAUAGAUCAGUAGAACAGAAUAGAGAGUCUAGAAAUAGACUCACAAAAAUAUAGUCAAUUGAUUUUUGACAAAGAAGUGAAGGCAAUACAAUAGAACAAAGAUAGUUUUCUCACAAAUGAUACUGGAAUAACUGAAUAUCUCUACAUGCAAAAAAAAAAAAAA
RNAcentral lists this long non-coding RNA (2985 nucleotides) under Canis lupus familiaris (dog). RNAcentral's name for it is "lncRNA (ENSCAFG00845026504.1)". Lineage: Eukaryota; Metazoa; Chordata; Mammalia; Carnivora; Canidae. The record is from RNAcentral.